GCGGGCUGGGGACCGUGCACCGCUUUGCGCGCCAGACGAUGCAUCUUCUGGAACGGCAGCUGAGAAUCAGAGGGACCCUGAGCUUGUUUUCCUGCAACUAGAUGGUCCCAUCUGGGGGUGAUGGGAGACAGUGACAGAUCAUCAGGCCUUGGAUUCUCAUAAGAAGCACGCAACCUAGAUCCCUCACAUGUGCCGUUCACAACAGGUUUCAUGCUCUUGUGCACAUCCAAUGGUUCCUAAAGGGCCACAGACCGGUACUGGUCCUUGGCCCAGGGGUUGAGGACCCCUGUUCUAUAAGGUCGGGAGAGAGGCCUCAGAAGAAACCAACCCUGCCGAGACACCUUGAUCUCAGACUUCAGCCUCCAGAACUGCGCGGUGAUGCGUUCCUGUUGAAGGCACUCUGACCGCAGUGGCUUGCCGUGGCAGCCCUCGACAACAAAUACAGGGUCUGUUGAACCAAAUGAAUCCAAAAUGUAUGCCCAAAGAUAGCCGCCAGGUCUAUGAAAACACCUGCUCUGAUAUGAGGGGACGUGGACCACAGAGUCUCCGGUAUGUCAUUAUCAGCAGUGUGAAAAUGGACUCACUCCCACCCUGUCUGGAUCUGGACAAGAGCCCACCACCCCGUUGGCAGUAGUCAGGCAGCUCUGCUUCUAAGAACCUGCAGCUUUUGGAAGAAAGGCACCCUGUGGUUUCAGAAGCCCAAGAGUCCCUGCAGCUCAGCACCCCCAGCCUGGUGCUUGGCAGAUGACUGCCUCCUCACUUAGCAGAGGGAGCAGAAAACUGUGUAUUCUUCAGAACAUCAUGAUAACCUGGCACUCAUGGGUCUAUGGAGAGAAUUCAGGGGGUCUGGGAGCUUGGAUGGAAUAAAUUUGCAUCUUUAUUUUCAGGAAAGUUUUACUGAAGUUUAGCAUUUUCUUUCAUUAUAAAUGGAAUCAGUAUAACCCAAUAGUAUGAGCAGUUACUUCUCCGCAACAUCAAAGUGGCUGCAGAUAUCUCAAAAUAGUAUUUACAUUUAUCAUAACUUAGAAAUUUGGGUGGUAAUUAAACCAGCAACUAUUCUUUGUUUAAUGCAUUAAGAAAGAAGUAUGUAUACUAUCAUAUCUCAAUUAAAAAUAUUUUAAGAAC
Homo sapiens (human) is the source of this 1125-nucleotide long non-coding RNA. The record is from Ensembl. NCBI's taxonomy places the organism in Eukaryota, Metazoa, Chordata, Mammalia, Primates, Hominidae.